Molecule: ribosomal RNA, 433 nt
Filed under: uncultured bacterium
Lineage: Bacteria
Description: partial 16S ribosomal RNA
Rfam family: Bacterial small subunit ribosomal RNA
Source: RNAcentral
AACGAACGCUGGCGGCAUGCCUAACACUUGCAAGUCGAACGAGACCUUCGGGUCUAGUGGCGCACGGGUGCGUAACGCGUGGGAACCUGCCCUUAGGUUCGGAAUAACUCCCCGAAAGGGGUGCUAAUACCGGAUAAUGUCUUCGGACCAAAGAUUUAUCGCCUUUGGAUGGGCCCGCGUUGGAUUAGCUAGUUGGUAGGGUAAAAGCCUACCAAGGCGACGAUCCAUAGCUGGUCUGAGAGGAUGAUCAGCCACACUGGGACUGAGACACGGCCCAGACUCCUACGGGAGGCAGCUGUGGGGAAUAUUGGACAAUGGGCGAAAGCCUGAUCCAGCAAUGCCGCGUGAGUGAUGAAGGCCUUAGGGUUGUAAAGCUCUUUUACCCGGGAUGAUAAUGACAGUACCGGGAGAAUAAGCUCCGGCUAACUCCGUG